GCAGAACCAGCAGACCUAAUCCCCAAACCAAAACCCCAUACAGCCUCGAUAUCACUUUACCAGGAUACCAGGAAACCCUAGAAUUCGCCGGAAAAUGUCAGCGAUAGUUUGUGGGAGCAAGAGAUCCUUCUUGCUGGAGGAUCUUCCCUCGCCUCCUGUAUCCAAAAGGCUUCGAUGCAGUUCCUCUUCUUCUUCACCUGUUCGCUUCUCGCCUCCCUCCCCUCUCCAUCAUCUCAAAGCUCUUUUCCCGCACGUCGAUUCUCAGCUUCUUGAGAGAGCACUUUUUGAAUCUUCUAAUGAUUUAGACUCUGCCAUCAAUAGCCUGAAUGAGCACCAUUUAGAAUCUGCAGAGCAUAAUUCUGGUUCUGCUGAAGAAGCUAGUCUAAAUGCAGAGCAAGGUACAUUACCCAAUGAUGGAGAUGCUGCUGCUUCUGAGAAUACAUCAGUGCCAAGCAACGUUCCUGUGGAUGGUGCAGAAUGGGUGGACUUGUUUGUAAGAGAAAUGAUGAGUGCUGCCAAUGUUGAUGAUGCUAGAGCUCGUGCCUCAAGAGUGCUGGAGAUUUUGGAGAGAUAUAUCAGUAAGCAUGCUGCUGAAGAUGCAGCACAGAGUUUACAGAAGGAAAACUUGAUGCUAAAAGAG
Molecule: unclassified non-coding RNA, 640 nt
Filed under: Hevea brasiliensis (rubber tree)
Lineage: Eukaryota; Viridiplantae; Streptophyta; Magnoliopsida; Malpighiales; Euphorbiaceae
Source: RNAcentral